CCUGACCAAAAUUCUUUCUGGUUCCAGAAUCUUGUUUCCAUUGAUCAUCAUAGUAGCUUACUUCUCUCUCUUUGGACAGAGACUGCAUGGUGCCUUGUUGCAAUGUUAUUUGUCUUCAUUUAUUUAAUUUUUCUGGUAUUAGCUGCGGUGAUGACAGCUAAGGCUCGUUGUCUGGAAGAGGUUCUGAUAUCAUAUGAAAACGAAACUGCACAUUGCAAAGUCAUAUAGCAAAGCAGAGAAAGAAACAAAUAAGAAAAAGAACUUUCAAGAAUAAAAUAUCAUAACAGCUGCUCAUGAGGAGUGACAUUUUCAGGCUAAUUAUUCUUUGGAAUUUUGAAGACCAAAGGCCUCGUAGAAGGGAUUCUCCCUCUAGUAGACUCUAGCGAACCUAAAGAAUACAGGUCUCCUUCAUUUUUUAUUCUCCUCUAAUAUGCUGUUGUUGCCUUUACAUCAUGUCUCCUUUUGCCCUGCCUUCAAGUUGUUACUGCCUUUAAUAAAGACUUCAAU
This 507-nucleotide long non-coding RNA is filed under the name Lynx canadensis (Canada lynx). RNAcentral's name for it is "lncRNA (ENSLCNG00005007864.1)". The record is from RNAcentral. Lineage: Eukaryota; Metazoa; Chordata; Mammalia; Carnivora; Felidae.